GACGAACGCUGGCGGCGUGCUUAACACAUGCAAGUCGAACGGAAAGGCCCUGCUUUUGUGGGGUGCUCGAGUGGCGAACGGGUGAGUAACACGUGAGUAACCUGCCCUUGACUUUGGGAUAACUUCAGGAAACUGGGGCUAAUACCGGAUAGGAGCUCCUGCUGCAUGGUGGGGGUUGGAAAGUUUCGGCGGUUGGGGAUGGACUCGCGGCUUAUCAGCUUGUUGGUGGGGUAGUGGCUUACCAAGGCUUUGACGGGUAGCCGGCCUGAGAGGGUGACCGGCCACAUUGGGACUGAGAUACGGCCCAGACUCCUACGGGAGGCAGCAGUGGGGAAUAUUGCACAAUGGGCGGAAGCCUGAUGCAGCAACGCCGCGUGCGGGAUGACGGCCUUCGGGUUGUAAACCGCUUUCGCCUGUGACGAAGCGUGAGUGACGGUAAUGGGUAAAGAAGCACCGGCUAACUACGUGCCAGCAGCCGCGGUGAUACGUAGGGUGCGAGCGUUGUCCGGAUUUAUUGGGCGUAAAGGGCUCGUAGGUGGUUGAUCGCGUCGGAAGUGUAAUCUUGGGGCUUAACCCUGAGCGUGCUUUCGAUACGGGUUGACUUGAGGAAGAUAGGGGAGAAUGGAAUUCCUGGUGGAGCGGUGGAAUGCGCAGAUAUCAGGAGGAACACCAGUGGCGAAGGCGGUUCUCUGGGCCUUUCCUGACGCUGAGGAGCGAAAGCGUGGGGAGCGAACAGGCUUAGAUACCUUGGUAGUCCACGCUGUAAACGGUGGGUACUAGGUGUGGGGUCCAUUCCACGGGUUCCGUGCCGUAGCUAACGCUUUAAGUACCCCGCCUGGGGAGUACGGCCGCAAGGCUAAAACUCAAAGGAAUUGACGGGGCCCCGCACAAGCGGCGGAGCAUGCGGAUCAAUUCGAUGCAACGCGUAGAACCUUACCUGGGUUUGACAUGGAUCGGGAGUGCUCAGAGAUGGGUGUGCCUCUUUUGGGGUCGGUUCACAGGUGGUGCAUGCCUGUCGUCAGCUCGUGUCGUGAGAUGUUGGGUUAAGUCCCGCAACGAGCGCAACCCUUGUUCACUGUUGCCAGCACGUUAUGGUGGGGACUCAGUGGAGACCGCCGGGGUCAACUCGGAGGAAGGUGGGGAUGACGUCAAGUCCUCAUGCCCCUUAUGUCCAGGGCUUCACGCAUGCUACAAUGGCUGGUACAGAGAGUGGCGAGCCUGUGAGGGUGAGCGAAUCUCGGAAAGCCGGUCUCAGUUCGGAUUGGGGUCUGCAACUCGACCUCAUGAAGUCGGAGUCGCUAGUAAUCGCAGAUCAGCAACGCUGCGGUGAAUACGUUCCCGGG
RNAcentral lists this ribosomal RNA (1343 nucleotides) under uncultured bacterium. RNAcentral describes it as "16S ribosomal RNA". It matches the Rfam family "Bacterial small subunit ribosomal RNA", at positions 28 to 1378 of the family's 1533-position model. The record is from RNAcentral.